RNAcentral lists this ribosomal RNA (253 nucleotides) under uncultured bacterium. Its description in RNAcentral is "partial 16S ribosomal RNA". It matches the Rfam family "Bacterial small subunit ribosomal RNA", at positions 524 to 776 of the family's 1533-position model. The record is from RNAcentral.
UACGUAGGUGGCAAGCGUUGUCCGGAAUUAUUGGGCGUAAAGCGCGCGCAGGCGGCCUUUUAAGUCUGAUGUGAAAUCUUGCGGCUCAACCGCAAGCGGCCAUUGGAAACUGGGAGGCUUGAGUACAGAAGAGGAGGGUGGAAUUCCACGUGUAGCGGUGAAAUGCGUAGAUAUGUGGAGGAACACCAGUGGCGAAGGCGACUCUCUGGUCUGUAACUGACGCUGAGGCGCGAAAGCGUGGGGAGCAAACAGG